GGAGAGAGAAAGAGAGGGGAGGAGAGCAAGUGUGAGCACUAUCGGGUGGAUUCUAAUAGCUCUGAUAAUCUCAUCUGGAGAAGGUCAUCAGAGGCAGCAAGUUUGAGAAACUGUCACAGCUAGGAGGCCACCAAGGAGACAUGAUGACUAAAUUAACUGGUGUCUUAGAAGGGAUCCUGGGACAGAAAAUGGAAUUAGUCUCCAUCAAAGGAAAUCUGAAUGAACUGUGAAUUCUAGUUAGUAAACAUGUAUCAGAGUUUGCAUCAUUCAUUAUCAAAAAUUUGGACUGUUCACCAAGGCCCAAGUCCGAAGUCUCAGUACUCACUCAGGAGGUGAAGACAGGAAGAUCAGGUGUUCAACUCCAUCCUCAACUAUGUAGUGAGUUCAAAGACAAUCUGUGCUAUAUGAGACAAAACAAAACUUGUAACAAAUGUACCAUCCUAACAACAGGAAAUUCUUAAUAAGGAUCUGUGUGUGUGUGUGUGUGUGUGUGUGUGUGUGUGUGUAGUGUAGGCAGUAGAUACAAAUAUUCUAUGCUGACUGCUCAUUUUUUUUCUAUGUAUCUAAAGCUGUUCUAAAAGUAAAGGCAAGCCUGGUAGAAAAGCCUGGGAUUCCAGCUGUGCCAGGGCUCUUGGGAUUGCAAGGAAGGCAGGUGAGGGUGGAGGGUCGCUCUCCUCCUCAAACCAACCGCACAAGGAGCUGGGCUACUUGCUCUGUGCCCUGGGCUUCCUGCAUCCCUACUGCUCCAAGGCAGCCAGCCUACAGGGGUUUCUGAGGCCAAUGGUGCUAGUGGCUGGGGCUACUAGUCAGUGUGACCCCUCAUCAUUAAAGAUCUAGAGACCCCUACACUCUUGGGGUGUCCUGUUUCUGCCAAGUAGCCUACCCUGACAGCUCCCACCUCCAGUCUUCUGGACAGGGAAGUAAUCCCUUAGGGGAUUACAGGAUUUCAUUCCUCUGUCACUCCUCCAGUCUGGCUUGUUUCCACACGGUAGAAAUUGAAGUUCUUACUGUAGGAAGAUGCCAGGGUGACUCCUGUCUUCUGGUUUGCAGCAUCAUGGUACUGGGCAAAUGGGAGUUGCAAGGUUGUAGUGGGAGUGCAGACUGCUGUGACAACUUCUAAAGAUUGAUUUAUGUUGUUGUUAUCUGUAAUGUAUUUGUUAUAUGUAUGUGUGAGGACUUGCAUAUAUGUUAAGUGUCCCAUAUGCAUGCCUGGUUCCUGUAGAGGGCAGAAGGGGGCUUUUGAUGCCCCAGAAUUAGAGUUACAUGGGAAGUUGUAAGCCUCCACGUGGGUGCUGGGAACUGAACCCUGGUCUUUGAAAUAGCAGCAAGUGCUCUUAACUGCUGAGCCAUCCCUCCAGUCCCUCAAUAACAACUUUCAUGUUUUUUUUUCCCCUGAAGGCUUGUUGUCCUUGUUGCUCUUGUGACUGCUUUCCUCCAUAUUUAUUUAUUUAUUGGUUUUUUAUAAACAGGGCCUCAUUUAUCUCAACUACAACCUGAACUCACAAUUUAGCUGAGGGUGGUCUUGAACUUCUGAUCCUUGUGCUGGGACUUCAGAUGUGCACCACCAUGCCUGCCUCUGGCUCUUGCUCUUGCUCUUCCUGUUGUCUAUCUACUAAGCCAGAGUUCUUGAAACUAGAAAUGAAGGAGGUCCCUGAGCCUGGCAGAGCAACGGCUCCUUAAAGAUGUCCCAGGAAUGUUGUAGAAAGAUAAAUCACCAGUCACAGUCACCGUCUUUCGGCAAUGUGAAAGAGAGAUUGCUGAUUUCCUUCUACUGUCCCACAAGUGUCACAGAAGCUUAUAGAAAGAGGCUUAUUGUUUAUGGGACCAAAAGGGUGUCAAGUGCCUUGAGGCAAGGAGAAGAGGGUUCAAGGGACAAUCUCUAAAUUCUAAGUGUGCCUCUGCUCACAGGAGCAUGUCUGUAACAUGACACCUGGGUAUCUGCACAGAUUGAGUAUUGCAUAAAUCAAGGGCACUUGGAAAUACAAGGAGCUCUAUAAUGAGGAUGAGUUUCACAUGCAUAUUUAUAGUCUUCCGUUAGCAAGAGAGGCCACCUGUGGGAUCUGAUAUGUAUUUAUCCUUGUCUUGUGAAAUCAGUAGGAAAGAGGCAACACACACACACACACACACACACACACACACACACACACACACACACACACACACACACACACUCUACUGGUUUUUUUCUUUGAGACAAAAUUUCAAGUAGCCCAGGCUGGCCUCCAGCUCCCUAUGUAGCUGAGGAUGACCUUGAGCUCCUGACUCUCCUGUGUCUACUUCCUGAGUGCUGAGAUAACAGGCAUUUGCCACCAUGCCUGGUUUUAUUUGGGAAUGAACGCAGGUUCUUCCGCACAAUGGGCAAACAUUCUAUCAGCUGAGCUACAUCCUCAGCCCUGAUAUUUUUUGCUGGCACCUCAAAAUUUGAGUGUCUAGGCUACAGACCAUUGAUUAUUAUGGCCUCUCACAUUGCCAACCCCGAUAGCUUUGUUUUCUGCUCUGUCUGCCCAUUUUCUACAACUUUCCAAAUUCUCCUGCUGGCUUCCUCUGUUAAUCCCAAUAUCUCAUGCCCUUCCCCACAUGUGCCCAUUUGUUCUUCCACUUCUGCCCCAGGGGUUCCUAGGGGAAGCUCCUCCUGUUCUGCCACACUGAGGCAUGCUUGUAUCUUCCUAUCUCUGUCCCCCAGCACUGAGAUGACAGGAAUGCACUGCCUCUGUCUGCUUUUAUCUGUGCCGUGGGAUUGAACAUAACUUCUCAUGAUUAUGUGGCAAGCAUUUCCCUCACCACUACCACCGCUUAAAAAAAUUAAAUUAUGCAUAGAUGUAGAUGUGUGUGUCUGUGUGUUCUAUGCAUGUGAGUGCUGGUGCCUUCAGGGGCCGGAGCCAUCAGGUCCCCCUGGAGCAGGCAUGACAGGAGGUUAUAAGCUCCCUGAUAUGAAUGUCUGGAACCAAUUUUGGUUCCUCUGCAAGAACUCUGUGUGCUCUUAACCAUUGAGCCAUCUCUCUAAUCCCCCUAUCACUUAGUUUUCGAGGAGGGUUUUACUCUGUAGCUCAGAAUGGCCUUGAACCCAUGGCAGUCCUCCCUAUGCUUCUCUCCUGGCUUCUCCCAGCUCCUGGUGGCACCAGGUAGCCUUUUGUGUGUCUUCAUCCCUUGAGUGUUUUUCUCACCCUUCACAUGGCCUUUACAUGUGAUCCUUCCCAUGGGGUGUAGGAUUAUUAGAUAUUGAGGAUAUCUCACUGUGAAAUCCUUAAUUUAAGGUCUGCUAAUUUUUUUUUUUUUUUUUGAAACAGGGUUUCUCUAUGUAGCCCUGGCUGUCCUGGAACUCUCUACGUAGACCAGGCUGGCUUUGAACUCACUGAGAUCCACCUGCCUCUGCCUCCCAAGUCCUGGGAUUAAAGUUUUCUGUCUGCAUGUAUCCCUGCAAUCCAGAAGAGGGCACCAGAUCUCAUUACAGAUGGUUGGGAGCCACCAUGUGGUUGCUGGGAAUUGAACUCAGGACCUCUGGAAGAAUGGGCAAUGCUCUUAACCCCUGAGCCAUCUCUCCAGCCCCUGUUAUUAUUUUUUUACAAAUCAGGAGCCUCUGUGAGCUGAGACAGCUGAGUGAAUACCUGCCUAUAGAGGUCACCCCUCAACCUCUCCACCUCUACAAGCUGGAGUUCCCUGGGGCCCAGGCACCUUCUUGACCUGGGAUCUUCCAGGACGGCUGGACAUUCACACCCCGCCCCAACCCUGCAGUCAUCAGAUCAUUCUUGGCUUUUGGGCAUCUCAACUGGAGAUGCAGGCCUGCCCUCCCCUGCCCUGCUCUGUCCUUUCCACCCCUCCCCUCCCCUCUCCCCUCCCCUCUCCUUCUUUGUCCUGCACUGCAAGUUUCCCAGCUCCUCAACCUCCCUUUCAUGAACUAACUGCUAGGCUGGAAACCUGGGUACUUGGUUCUCACUGUUGAUGUGGGAGGGAGGGAGGAGGGUGACCCCCAGAGGACAUUUAGCAAAGUCUAGAGACACUUUUUAUUGUCAUAACUGAGUGACGGAAGUCUGCAUUAUUACUCUUUAGUGAGUGAAGGCUAGGGAUGUUGCUAAACAGCCCAUUAUGAACACGAUAACCCUAGAAUAAAGGAGUCCCUUGAUGAAGAUGACAACAGUGUGGUGGCUGAGUGACUCCGCUCUACCUCCAUGCCGCUCCUAAACUUCAGGAUGAAGACCCAAUUCUCAAGAAACUUCUCCCCAAGCUCUGCCUCUCCAGGGGCAGCGGUUCUGGGUUCUGGUGACAUUCUGCCAGGGAGCAUCCUGGCAUGGUGGCGAAGGGGGAAGUAGAGGGGGCUAAAGAGGAGCCUGCUUUGUCAUCAUCCCCUCCCAGGGAACUCGGCGGCUCUCAUUGGCUUGUGGGGGUUAAUGAAGGACCAGCUUGGGCUCUUAGGGAGUCUUGGCAAGGGUCCUUAUCUACCCAUCUCACUGGGAAGUUCCAGUCAGAGUUGAGAGGAAGCAUACCCGCCAGUCAACACCAGAGAUCCCUUACUUGUCUGAGUCCAUUCUCCUCUGGGUGUGAAAACUCGGCUGAGGCAGAAGCUCUUUCAGUUUGUUCACCUGUGUCCCAGGUACCUCAACAUAAUUACUCUGUUGCAAAACAAUGACAUUCUGUUGACAGUGAAUGAAGAGUCUGCCUUCUUUAGAGAACAGGUGGAUUUGCAGCUGGCAAGGAUACCGGCUGGGGAUGUGACUCGGUUGGUUAGGUGCUUGCUUGGCACACACAAGACUCUGCAUUUAAUCCCAAGCUCUGCAUAAACCAGGUGUAGGGGCGAAGGCCUGAAACUUCAGCACUCAGAAGUGAAUGUAAGAGGACAAGAGUUCAAGCACACCCUCUGCUACAUACAGAGUUUGAGGCCAGGCCAGGAUACAGCAUCUUAAAAAUGUACCUGUGAUUUUUUUUUUCAAGGUCUUUGCUAUAUUUCUCAUUUUUUUCCCCCAGGAUAACAUAGAUGGCCUUGAACUUGGGAAUCUGUCUGCCUUAGUUUGCUAAGUAGCUGGGAUUUCAGGUGGACAACACACCAUGGUUUUUGUUUCUUCUAUCAAGCUGAGGAUCAAAGGCAGGUGCGCUCUGCCACCAAGCGACAUCCUGACCCCCAUCUGUAAUCCUUUCAAAGAAAGAAAAGAGUUUGCUUGGAUCAAAGAGCAAAAAUGAAUUUUGUCAAGUGGAUGUGCAGGAGGCGCUCCUCUACACUACGGGGAGAAGAGUUGGCAAGAAGAAAGGACCUUGGAACGAGAGCCUGUACAGUUGGUGACUGGCCUAUGGUGGUGCACCCAUUCACAUGUGUGGGCAUUCUCACACACAGACAUACAGACAGACAUGUGGAAGUGUGCCCCCCCAAUCAAUGGGCAUGUGGGAGCCACUAGUGAGAAAGAGCCCAUCUCACACUGGUGCAGGAUAGGAGGCCUAGGCUGUCUCUCCUUUCACAUACCAAAUGCCCCCAGGUAACAGCCACACAAGGGUAGUUAGUUGUAUUGCCGCUGGGAGUCCUGUGUGGGACACUUAGGAAAUAAAGAUUAAUGAAACUGG
RNAcentral lists this long non-coding RNA (5547 nucleotides) under Cricetulus griseus (Chinese hamster). RNAcentral's name for it is "lncRNA (ENSCGRG00015036781.1)". Lineage: Eukaryota; Metazoa; Chordata; Mammalia; Rodentia; Cricetidae. The record is from RNAcentral.